This 381-nucleotide ribosomal RNA is filed under the name Wolbachia endosymbiont of Maculinea teleius. RNAcentral's name for it is "bacterial SSU rRNA". It matches the Rfam family "Bacterial small subunit ribosomal RNA", at positions 1038 to 1418 of the family's 1533-position model. Lineage: Bacteria; Pseudomonadati; Pseudomonadota; Alphaproteobacteria; Rickettsiales; Anaplasmataceae. The record is from RNAcentral.
GUGUUGCAUGGCUGUCGUCAGCUCGUGUCGUGAGAUGUUGGGUUAAGUCCCGCAACGAGCGCAACCCUCAUCCUUAGUUACCAUCAGGUAAUGCUGGGGACUUUAAGGAAACUGCCAGUGAUAAACUGGAGGAAGGUGGGGAUGAUGUCAAGUCAUCAUGGCCCUUAUGGAGUGGGCUACACACGUGCUACAAUGGUGGCUACAAUGGGCUGCAAAGUCGCGAGGCUAAGCUAAUCCCUUAAAAGCCAUCUCAGUUCGGAUUGUACUCUGCAACUCGAGUGCAUGAAGUUGGAAUCGCUAGUAAUCGUGGAUCAGCAUGCCACGGUGAAUACGUUCUCGGAUCUUGUACACACUGCCCAUCACGCCAUGGGAAUUGGUUUC